GCCUACACCCCCCAGAAGCUCAGGGCUCAGCCCGCACACACCGGGAGCCUGCACGGCGCGGGCCGCGGGCCAGGCGAGGGCCCAGGCCCGGAGGCGACCAGCGCGGACUGGAAGAUUAUUAAGAUGCCUCAAGCAUACAGAGCCCACCUGGAGAAGUGCAGGCAUGCUCAGACCCUGCUGUCACGUCCUGAGAGGUGAAAUGGGCCCAAGCUCUUGCCCGAUGGACGGCUCUCCAAGCAUGUCCUACCGGGACCCUUCUAACCAGUGAAUUGUUCACCUCCCAGUGAUUCUUCCCGACUGAGGCCAAGAGAUUUCUGGAGCCUCUUGUCAUGGUCAGCAACAUCCCAUGAGUGACCAGGAAGUGGGGGUUUCUGUUCUAAGUCCCUCAGGCAAAGACAAAGCAGAUGAACCUGGCUCUGGGGAAGAAGCAUAAGAGUGUGUCCACCAUGGCUGUGCCCAGAGUGCCGAGGGUUGGUGUGACUGGGGCCAGCUGGAAUUCUAGAAUUUGUAUUUGGUGUGAGUCACGCCAAAACCACCCAGGUGAAGAGCUCCCCCUGAAGACAGCGGGUCUACCAGUGGGCCAAGUGGCACGUUCCCACUGCCGUGCAAAUGAUCACACCCUGUCAGGACAAGUGAGGGUCACAGACUGGAACCAAAGGAAGUCAGGCGCUUCAUAGGAGGAUAAGCAAAUCAACCCAGGCAAGAAGGGAACUGAAGGAGCCGAACUUUGCAAAAUAACUCCAAGUCCCUGGCUGAAAAGCACUAUGUGAGUGCAGUCCACACAUCUAUUAUACACUGUAAAGGCUCCAAGGUCCAGAGAAGCUUCUGUCCCAAGAGGAAGUCCAUUCCUGUCCACUCUGCAUCUCCUUCCAUCUUCCACUUCUUUCCUCCUGGCAUUGUUUGCUGUCAAGAGGAGAACCAGCUCCCCUGAAAUAAUUAAUACACUGACGUCCUUCGGUGUGUGUUUCUGGAGAGAGAGCUCUAACUGAAGCAGCAGGGAUAGAGGGCUCCGUGGUGUGCAAUGCACACUAUUCGUCCAAUCCGUGCAAUGCAGAGCAAAGAUGACAGGUUUGGGGGUCCUUCCACGGAUGACAAAGGGAGACUGGGAAUGGUCCUGGAGUUGUCUAGAAAUGCAAGCACAGCUCACCACGGUCUCCUCAAGCUGAAGGUCUGUCCUUCACCUGUGGCCUUCCUUGGCCUGGUUAUUCCUCAGAACCUCCUGCUUCGCAGCUGAGGCUGUGGAGAAGUUGGCUCCCUGCCUACUUUGUCAAGGGACUCUGAGGGAGAGCCUGGAGACUGAAAGAUGACUCGUAUGACAGUCUUUCCUUGUGAGUGUUCAUAAUGCAGAGAAAGUCGAACACAGCGAAACCCCGUAAUCAUGAAGGGGAAGGGAAGGGACAUCUCAGCGGUAGUGUUGGGGUUAGGAAGGGGAUGGCCAAACUGUCCACAGUGACCCAGCCAACUGACGUGGCGCUCACUGACUCAGAGCCUCAGGCUGCACACCGUGCCCAGGCUCAGGCACAGGCCCGAGAUGGCCUCAGGCAUUCCUCUUCCUCAUUCCUACUUGCCCCGAGAUUUUGUUCAGAUGGAAUCAGGCAGGAAGCAAAAGGAAGGACAUUCUACAUCUUUCCUACGAGGUUGGCUCACGAAAGGGCUUAUUAGGGUUCCUUCCUGGGUUAGUUCUGCAUCUGGGGUUGGGGAUCCGUUCUUUCUAGAGAUCUCUAAGGAACACACAGAAGGCAAACCUCUCACUCGCCAUUUUAGAGCCGUGUCUCCUAUAACCCCGCUGCUCCGCAUCUCUGAUUAUGGCAUCCUUCUCCAGCUCUGCUUCCAUCUCUCCUACUGCCCCUGGCACGAUUCCUGCCAGUGUUCUCUAAUAAAGCAUUCCUGGGGACACCUGCGGACUCCGGAUGUAGUCUGUAAGAUGAACAGUCCACUUGGAAGUGCAGUGAAGAGCACACUCGAGCCGAGAGGCAGCAGAGCCCCCCCGGCGGCCGCGACGACAUGUUUUCCUGCCCAGGACACAGGCCUUACUUUGCUUUGCGAGCCAGGCCUGCGAGGCCCUAGGCAUCCUUUCAUCCUAGUACGAUGUGUACCUCGAACGUGACAACUGCCACUUAGGGCCCAUCCAACGUCCCAGCCAUCCCCAGAGGAGGUUUUGUGACAGCGUAACAGUUGACCAGAGGCAGAUGGCUAUUCUGCACAUUUUUCCUGAACUCUUCUUAAAUCUGUAUUUUCCACUGGGUAUGUUUUUUGAAUCAGAAGCUACUAGAAUGUUAGAACUGUGCACCAGUGUAGGCUUUAUUCCAGUGCAGAAAUUGAAGCCCAGAAAGGCUAAGGGACUUGCCCAAGGCUGUUUAGCUGGCCUGUGGCCAAGCUGGACCCAGGUUUUGCGCCUUCAUCCCUAUGUCCUGAGGUUACGGCCUGCCAAGUGUAGGCACAGAGGUCAAGCAGCACUUGCUGAAUGAGGGACCUGGCUGCCAUGUCAAAGUCCCCUUUUUCUUUUAUUCCUAGGAAAACUGUCUCCUUCAGGUUUCAAAGGAACACUCCUGAAUGCGAUGUUCUGGAAUUUGGUGGAUGGGUCCAUGUGGAUGCUCCCCCUUCCCUGCAUCAGGCGCUGUUCCCUGGAAACACAUGGGUUGUCUGGUUGCUUUGUGCCUGGUACUGUACUGAGCUCUGGGGACGCAAGACGGAAGCUAGGUCCCUUCUCUGAGUUGCUCUUAAUCCAGGAGUUGGACAGAGGUCUAAACAAAGACACUUAGGCCUCAGGGUCCUAAAUGCCACCACAGUGCCAUCAACAGGGUAUUCGAAGGCUUUCAUUAUGGCCUUCAUUUCUUUCCAGAUGACGAAACACUGAAUCUUUGACAUUAUCAUCUUUUUUGUUACUAUCAGGGAAAAUAAUCGCUCGUCUUUAUUCUGAAGAUUCGACUGCCAACAGGCUAGAGGUCAAGGGCAUUUCGUUGCAAUCGGUGGCGGUGCUGUGCCUGAAGAUCUUGCUGCUUUUCCUUUGCCACCUGGCAGCGUAAUGAGCUGUGUAGGAUGAGCCGAGGGGCCUUAGAAGGGUUAGGGGAUGGACUAGAACACUUUUCCGUUAUGUGUGCGAAGAAUCUGCAUUUCUCAGAGGAGCUGGGGAAGAUGCGAGCUGGUUGUCUUUCAUGACGCAGUCUGUGUUCAUGCUCACACCAGUGGGCCAUUAUUCUUCUCCUGCUGCCUCCUUCCCUAUGACAGGAAGCCUCGUCGCAGGCCACCAUGGAAUGCCUCACUGCCUCUCAGCUGCCCCUCCCUUGGGACAGGUUCGAGGAAGCUCUGGGUACAAACCCAUGCACGCAACAUGCACCGUUUCUUCUAUCUGAAAUUCAAGUUUCCUUCCAAGCUUUCUGAAGGAAAAGGAGAGGUUCCAUAACACAUCCAGGUUUACAAAAAAAGUAGAUGGCCUCUGCAGAUUCCCAAGGGCUUGGUCACAAGAUAGCCUGCUUUAGACAGCCGGGUCACCCUAUGUGUUCUGAAAAAAAAGACUGAUGUAACACAAAUUUAUUGUGUACUUAGAAUACUUAAACACUGCAUGGGAUGCAAAGAUGAGUAAGACAUUCAUGCCCUCAGUCAUUCAUUCAACGAACAUCCAGCCAAGUGUUCCUCCUAUGUGUCAGGCAUUAAGCUAGUCACCAAGAAUUUAACAGUAAGAUGCUUCCUCCAGCGUCUAGUGUUGGCGACCUAGUGAGGACACAGCCAGGCAAAUGAGUCAUAGCAGUGCUGAGCCUCAGAGUCUUUGAAGUAGAUAUGGGGUGUCAUGGGGACCUUUAAGAAGGAAGUACCCUCUGUGGCAGGUGAGAAAAGCACGCGCGAGGAGACCCACUCUCCGGGGCAGAAGCACUCUGGUGCUCCAGAUGGCUGUCCAGUUAAAGAGAAAUUCGUGACCUUGGCAAGUGCAGGAUAGGAGUGUUCACCAUGUCAAGUUUCCACCUUGAGCUACCUUCAAGUUUCCAAAUCAUUCCCCAGGAAGCUCUUCCAGAGAGCAAUUGAACUAUGAACCUGGAAGUCAUUUGGUGGGGAUUUUCCUUCUCAGAAAGGCAGCCAAACAUCCACAGAAAAAGAUCACCUUUUAAAUGAAAGAAGCACGUUGUACUAUUUGGCAAGUGACUGGGGCACGUGCACAUGUGUGUAUGUAUGUUUGUGGGACACAUGUUUGUGAAGAGUUUCAAUUUCUCCAAGGAGCUCGGUAAAAUGCCUUUAAAGUCUCA
This is a long non-coding RNA of Leptonychotes weddellii (Weddell seal), 4238 nucleotides long. RefSeq lists it as uncharacterized. Lineage: Eukaryota; Metazoa; Chordata; Mammalia; Carnivora; Phocidae. The record is from RefSeq and is a predicted model, not a curated record.